UUGACCUUUUCGCUCAGCUCGGGAAAGCAGAGAAGAGUCGGCGUUUGCGGCCCGUCGUGCCGUGAUUGCCGCCAUUAGUAUGCGCCAAGACGAGGAGGCGGGUCAUUAGCGCUAAUUUAUGCAGAAAAGUGACAGGCCACAAAACAGUGAGGGUUCAAGGGUCAGCCAAGCACCCUCCUACCUGUCCCAACGCAUUACGGCAAGGCGGGGGGGAAAUGGCCACUUUUUGCUGCAGCAAAAACAAUCUAUAAAAUGGUGUCACUUUCAAGUUACGUAUUUUUCCUUGGACUUGCAAACCAAAAUCAAGCAAAAUUGAGCUUAUUCAUUCUAGUCUGGCUGGGCAAGUAUCGACGUAUCGGGCUGAUCACGGCCUUAUUUGAAGAUAUCGGGUAGUCACGAAGGCUGCCGAUACCAGCAACUGAUACUCGAGCUGAUUUUCUAUUUUACGCUUCACACUUAUUUUAUUUGAGUAAAGAGAAGUUCUACUGAGCUAUGAAGUGAAGAAGCUUGCUCGGAUGAGAUGUGAAACAACACACCGUGUUUAUUUUUGUAAUGUUCGCCGGUUGCUAAUAGCGAUCGCAACGUUGUUACAGCGCUCAGCGGUCGGGGCGCUUCCCUUUGCUUCAAGGCCUUGUCGUUUGAUCGAUAUCUCCGCCUGAGUUUCAUCCCCAGAGCCCUUAAUGGCAGAACCCUCUCGAGCGAGCGUAAUGCUAUCCGAGGAUCCGACGAGAACUGCGGGGGGGAGGGGCCUGGCGGUGGCGCUGGACUUUGCACGCUCAUGCGCUCACGUGCAAUAAAUCCUAAUGUCGAGCAGAAAGAGGAGCCCGUCUAAGAACUUGAAAUAACUCAACUGCGGCUGUCCCAUUUGCACGUUUUUUUCCCGGUCCCAAUGACAGCUCCCGUAGAAGCGAGGCAGAGCUCCCUGCCGGAGAGAGGACGUUCGGAGCCGCCGCCGCCGCCGCCAUCCACUUUCUGGUGUCUGGAUCGGCAAAAGAGGCACCAAGUAAUGGCUUCCUUAUGGCCGCAAGAGUGAUGGGCUGACAGAAGUCGCCCCUGAGGGUAAAAUCGUGGCAACUCGGAAGCUCGCACCUCAGGUCAAAUGAGACAAGCGGAAGGCAAACUUACUUGAGAACAAAGCAGCAUAACGAGCUCCACCACCGACGUGCUUGACUUCAUGCACACCAGACCUGCAAAG
Syngnathus acus (greater pipefish) is the source of this 1195-nucleotide long non-coding RNA. RefSeq lists it as uncharacterized. NCBI's taxonomy places the organism in Eukaryota, Metazoa, Chordata, Actinopteri, Syngnathiformes, Syngnathidae. The record is from RefSeq and is a predicted model, not a curated record. The transcript is spliced from 2 exons.